Molecule: long non-coding RNA, 1039 nt
Filed under: Mus musculus (house mouse)
Lineage: Eukaryota; Metazoa; Chordata; Mammalia; Rodentia; Muridae
Description: long non-coding RNA chr6:29951077-29952116
Source: RNAcentral
GUACAAUAGUAAUUUAAUUGUGAGGGUAGAACAUAUGCAAAAUUCUUGUUGAUUUUUUUCAGUGAUAGAGCUCUUACCAAGUGCUUUGUAGGCAAGCCCUGUACUACUGAAAUGUAUCCCAGCCCUGUUUAGGAUUUUACAUUACAUUUCUCUCUCUCUCUCUCUCUCUCUCUCUCUCUCUCUCUCUCUCUCGUGCAUGUGUGUGUGUGUGUCUGCACAUUUAUGAAGAACAACUUGCAGUAGUUGAUUCUAGGGAUCAAACUUGGCCAUCAUGAUUAGGGGCAAGCACCCUUACCUGCUGAUCCAUCUUGACAGUCCCAAUACUUUUUUUGAGACAGGGCCUUGCUGUCAUAGAAUUCCCUAUGUAGCUCAGGCUGGCCUGAAAUUCUCCUGCCUCUGCUUCUUAAGUGCUAGGAUGCAGGCAUGUUAUAUAUACUGUAUAUAAUGUAUGUGUAUGUAUUUUAAAAUAUGCAUUGUGACAUAUAUGUAUAUAUACAUAAACACACAUACACAUAUCACAUAUUUAAUAUUAAGAGACCAUAUUUUUAUUCUUGAAAAAAAUGUCUCUGAGUAGAUACCUAUUUCUAUCUGAUAUGAUCUGUUGUCUCUGGUUAGAUACUCACAAGCUUUUGUUUUGUUUUGUUUUGUUUUGUUUUGUUUUGUUUUGUUUUGUUUUGUUUUGUUUGAAAGAGGGUUUCUCUAUUUAGCCCUGGCUGUCCUGGAAGUUGUUCUGUAGACCAGGUUGGCCUCAAACUCCAGAGAUCCACCUGCCUCUGCCUCUCGAGUUCUGGAUUAAAGGUGUGUACCACCACUGCCUGGUGUUCACAAACCUUCAGGCAAGUGGGGUGGAGAGAUGUCUCAGUGGUAAGAGCACUUGCUAUUUUUUGAGAUCCUGAGUGUAGUUCCCAGCAUACACAUCAGUAAACUUACAACAGCCUAUAAAUUUACCAUUGAGGGUUCUAACACCAUCUUCUGGUCUCUGCAGUUACUUGCACACAUCUGGGCAGAUAUUCAGACACCUAUGUAAAAAACAGAAUCU